UCCUUUUACAAAUGUUAAAACCCAAUAGUACCUAACUAGACCAACCCAAUCCUAAGCCUACCCAAACCCAAUAAGCAGCAAUCCAGCAGGGCCCAAAUUCGAAACACUAGGGCAGAAACCCUAGUGAUCCUUAGCGCCGUAAACAGCAGACAAGAGCCCCGCCCAGCACGACCUUCAAUCGCGCUGCAAUCAUCGCAAUCAGCGCACCAAUCCACCGGAGAUCUCGCCACAGACCUGCAAAAAAGGAAAGAAAGACCAAGCAGAAUAAGAAAGAAAUCAAAGAUUGUACUUUCUAUAUAUUAUUCAGGCU
This 310-nucleotide long non-coding RNA is filed under the name Gossypium barbadense (sea-island cotton). Its description in RNAcentral is "long non-coding RNA (GBAR_LNC010251)". The record is from RNAcentral. Lineage: Eukaryota; Viridiplantae; Streptophyta; Magnoliopsida; Malvales; Malvaceae.